This 899-nucleotide ribosomal RNA is filed under the name uncultured bacterium. RNAcentral describes it as "bacterial SSU rRNA". It matches the Rfam family "Bacterial small subunit ribosomal RNA", at positions 77 to 973 of the family's 1533-position model. The record is from RNAcentral.
UUGCUAGAUUGAUGGCGAGUGGCGAACGGGUGAGUAAUACAUCGGAACGUGCCCUGUAGUGGGGGAUAACUAGUCGAAAGAUUAGCUAAUACCGCAUACGACCUGAGGGUGAAAGUGGGGGACCGCAAGGCCUCAUGCUAUAGGAGCGGCCGAUGUCUGAUUAGCUAGUUGGUGGGGUAAAGGCCCACCAAGGCGACGAUCAGUAGCUGGUCUGAGAGGACGAUCAGCCACACUGGGACUGAGACACGGCCCAGACUCCUACGGGAGGCAGCAGUGGGGAAUUUUGGACAAUGGGCGAAAGCCUGAUCCGGCAAUGCCGCGUGUGUGAAGAAGGCCUUCGGGUUGUAAAGCACUUUUGUCCGGAAAGAAAUGGCUCUGGUUAAUACCUGGGGUCGAUGACGGUACCGGAAGAAUAAGGACCGGCUAACUACGUGCCAGCAGCCGCGGUAAUACGUAGGGUCCAAGCGUUAAUCGGAAUUACUGGGCGUAAAGCGUGCGCAGGCGGUUGUGCAAGACCGAUGUGAAAUCCCCGAGCUUAACUUGGGAAUUGCAUUGGUGACUGCACGGCUAGAGUGUGUCAGAGGGGGGUAGAAUUCCACGUGUAGCAGUGAAAUGCGUAGAGAUGUGGAGGAAUACCGAUGGCGAAGGCAGCCCCCUGGGAUAACACUGACGCUCAUGCACGAAAGCGUGGGGAGCAAACAGGAUUAGGUACCCUGGUAGUCCACGCCCUAAACGAUGUCAACUAGUUGUUGGGGAUUCAUUUCCUUAGUAACGUAGCUAACGCGUGAAGUUGACCGCCUGGGGAGUACGGUCGCAAGAUUAAAACUCAAAGGAAUUGACGGGGACCCGCACAAGCGGUGGAUGAUGUGGAUUAAUUCGAUGCAACGCGAAAAACCUUA